UACGUAGGGUGCGAGCGUUGUCCGGAAUUACUGGGCGUAAAGGGUGCGUAGGCGGUUGUUUAAGUCUGUUGUGAAAUCCCCGGGCUCAACCUGGGAAUGGCAAUGGAUACUGGGCAGCUAGAGUGUGUCAGAGGAUGGUGGAAUUCCCGGUGUAGCGGUGAAAUGCGUAGAGAUCGGGAGGAACAUCAGUGGCGAAAGCGACUUCCUGGACCAAUACUGACGCUCAUGUGCGAAAGCGUGGGGAGCAAACAGG
Molecule: ribosomal RNA, 253 nt
Filed under: uncultured bacterium
Lineage: Bacteria
Description: partial 16S ribosomal RNA
Rfam family: Bacterial small subunit ribosomal RNA
Source: RNAcentral